GCGGCGGUGGCGAAAUGGUAGACGCACUAGCCUUAGGAGCUAGCGAGGCAACUCAUGAAGGUUCAAGUCCUUUCCGCCGCACCA
This 84-nucleotide transfer RNA is filed under the name Candidatus Saccharimonadota bacterium. RNAcentral's name for it is "tRNA-Leu". It matches the Rfam family "tRNA". From Rfam's summary of the family: Transfer RNA (tRNA) molecules are approximately 80 nucleotides in length. Their secondary structure includes four short double-helical elements and three loops (D, anti-codon, and T loops). Further hydrogen bonds mediate the characteristic L-shaped molecular structure. tRNAs have two regions of fundamental functional importance: the anti-codon, which is responsible for specific mRNA codon recognition, and the 3' end, to which the tRNAs corresponding amino acid is attached (by aminoacyl-tRNA synthetases). tRNAs cope with the degeneracy of the genetic code in two manners: having more than one tRNA (with a specific anti-codon) for a particular amino acid; and 'wobble' base-pairing, i.e. permitting non-standard base-pairing at the 3rd anti-codon position. The record is from RNAcentral. Lineage: Bacteria; Candidatus Saccharimonadota.